CGCAGGAGGAAGCAGAGGGAGUCAGAGUGGGAACUCUGACUCUGACCAGCCUGAGCCACCACUGGACCCCAGGGAAAGUCACCCUCCUGCACCUAAAAGGUAGGAAACAGGAGGGUGACUUAAAUAUUAUGUGUGUGUGUGUGUUUGUUUGUUUGUAUGUAUGUGUCUGUGUUUGUCUGUAUAUAUGUGUGCCUGUCUGUCUGUUUGUAUGUAUGUCUUGUGUGUGUGUGUCUGUCUGUCUUCCUGUAUGUCUUUCUAUCUGUCUGUAUGCAUGUGUCUUUAUAUGUAUGUAUGUGUGUCUGUAUGUGUCUGUGUCUAUCUGUCUGUAUGUGUGCCUGUCUGUUUUAAUGUAUGUGUCUUUGUAUGUAUGUGUGUUUUGUGUGUGUGCCUGUCUGUAUGUAUGUUAGCCUGUCUGUCUGUAUGUAUGUGUGUCUUGUCUGUAUGUGUGCCUCUCUGUAUGUAUGUCGUAUGUCUGUGUCUGUCUGUGUGUGUGUGUGUGAGUGUAUGUGUGUGUGUCUGUAUGUGUGUCUGUCUGUAUGUAUGUAUGUGUGCCUGUCUGUUUUUAUGUAUGUAUGUGUCUUUGUAUGUAUGUCUGUGUGUAUGUGUGUGUCUGUCUGUUUGUUUGUAUGUAUGUGUGUCUUGUCUUUAUGUAUGUGUGCCUGUCUGUUUGUAUGUAUGUUUGUCGUAUGUGUGUUUGUCUGUAUGCCUGUCUGUUUUUAUGUAUGUAUGUGUCUUUGUAUGUAUGUCUGUCUGUCUGUGUGUGUAUGUGUCUUUCUGUCUGUUGGUAUGUAUGUGUGUCUUGUCUGUCUGUAUGUGUGCCUGUUUGUAUGUAUGUGUCUCUGUAUGUAUGUGUCGUGUGUGUCUCUGUAUGUAUGUGUGUGUGUGUCUAUCAGGGAGGGGGAAUAAGAGGGGAAAAGGGAGGGAGGGGGUGCCCCAUGGGUUAUGUGUAGAACUUCUUUAUUCCAAAAUGGAUAUCAGAUAACUUACCUGCGUCCCUCCUCCAAGGCCAAGUUCUCCAAGUAGCCUGAUCCUACUUCGGGUGAGGACAAGCAGAGGGGUGCUUUGCGCAGCACAGUAGUGGUUGGUUGUUUGUUUAUAUACACCCUCUGCCUCAGAUUUCCCCACAGGAAGUAAUCGGAAGCUGAAAGUUCAGGUGAACGUGUCGACCAAUUAAUCUUAGAAUUUCUUGAAAUUAUCCACUUGCCGAACAGUUGCUUCAGUUUUGAACAUAAAAUUCCACUAUUAUUACUCAUCGUACUUGUUCCUUCAUGAAAUCACCCAUGAAUCUCCAAAGGCCUUAAACAAAAAAAAACUAAAAAAUUAUUACUUACAAAUAAGUUAUUUCCCUAGAUUUUAUUUUGAGCUAACUAAAUAUGUAUGUUUACUUAUACUGCUUGUAGUAUUUCUCACUCUCUAGGGACAUUGGAAAAUUCCUUACUUAAAAGACAGCAACAUUUUCAAAUCACUACAUAAUAAUUAUUUUUAGGAUGAGACUCUGAAUGAUGAGUUUUACUUAGCAAGAUCAAGGACAUAAAGCAAUGUGCACAAAGCCUUAUACUGAAUUGUAUUGGUUAUUUAGGGCAUGUGAAUGUUCACUCAGUGACUCCAUCUCAUUCUUUGUAGGAUGUAAACCCAGUUCAACCCCACUAUCCUAGCACUCUUUGGGGACCAAGUUGUGCAGCUACUGAUGAGAUAUUACAUGAAGUGGAUCUUCCAGAACUGAACGAGGGGGAAUAUAUCAUGUUCCAAAAUAUGGGAGCCUAUAGCAUUUCAAUGAGCACUGAAUUCAAUGGGUUUCCUCGUUUAUCUGUGUACCAUGUUCUAAGCGCAGAAAUAUGGCAGUUGCUGGAAAGAAAAAAGAAGAUGGCAAAUCCUCCUAUUGAAUACUUCCUUAGUCAAAAUUAGCAUGUAUUUGAUGAAGCUGCUGUGUUAAUGUGUUAGCUGUUUAUUGAGAACUUAUCUGUAG
This is a non-coding RNA of Pelobates cultripes (western spadefoot toad), 1966 nucleotides long. The record is from the annotation of a GenBank genome assembly. Lineage: Eukaryota; Metazoa; Chordata; Amphibia; Anura; Pelobatidae.